This 253-nucleotide ribosomal RNA is filed under the name uncultured bacterium. Its description in RNAcentral is "partial 16S ribosomal RNA". It matches the Rfam family "Bacterial small subunit ribosomal RNA", at positions 524 to 776 of the family's 1533-position model. The record is from RNAcentral.
UACGUAGGGGGCGAGCGUUGUCCGGAAUUAUUGGGCGUAAAGAGCUCGUAGGCGGUCUGUUACGUCCGCUGUGAAAACCCAGGGCUUAACCCUGGGCUUGCAGUGGAUACGGGUAGACUAGAGGCAGGUAGGGGAGAAUGGAAUUCCCGGUGUAGCGGUGAAAUGCGCAGAUAUCGGGAGGAACACCGGUGGCGAAGGCGGUUCUCUGGGCCUGACCUGACGCUGAGGAGCGAAAGCGUGGGGAGCGAACAGG